GAUAACCUGGGGAAACCCAGGCUAAUACCGCAUACGUCCUACGGGAGAAAGGAGGCUCCGGCUCCCGCUAUGGGAUGAGCCUAUGUCGGAUUAGCUAGUUGGUGAGGUAACGGCUCACCAAGGCCACGAUCCGUAGCUGGUCUGAGAGGAUGAUCAGCCACAUCGGGACUGAGACACGGCCCGAACUCCUACGGGAGGCAGCAGUGGGGAAUAUUGGACAAUGGGGGAAACCCUGAUCCAGCCAUGCCGCGUGUGUGAAGAAGGCCCUCGGGUUGUAAAGCACUUUCAGCGAGGAAGAACGCCUAGCGGUUAAUACCCGCUAGGAAAGACAUCACUCGCAGAAGAAGCACCGGCUAACUCCGUGCCAGCAGCCGCGGUAAUACGGAGGGUGCAAGCGUUAAUCGGAAUUACUGGGCGUAAAGCGCGCGUAGGUGGCUUGAUAAGCCGGUUGUGAAAGCCCCGGGCUCAACCUGGGAACGGCAUCCGGAACUGUCAAGCUAGAGUGCAGGAGAGGAAGGUAGAAUUCCCGGUGUAGCGGUGAAAUGCGUAGAGACCGGGAGGAAUACCAGUGGCGAAGGCGGCCUUCUGGACUGACACUGACACUGAGGUGCGAAAGCGUGGGUAGCAAACAGGAUUAGAUACCCUGGUAGUCCACGCCGUAAACGAUGUCGACCAGCCGUUGGGUGCCUAGCGCACUCUGUGGCGAAGUUAACGCGAUAAGUCGACCGCCUGGGGAGUACGGCCGCAAGGUUAAAACUCAAAUGAAUUGACGGGGGCCCGCACAAGCGGCGGAGCAUGUGGUUUAAUUCGAUGCAACGCGAAGAACCUUACCUACUCUUGACAUCCUGCGAAUUCGGUAGAGAUACCUUAGUGCCUUCGGGAACGCAGAGACAGGUGCUGCAUGGCUGUCGUCAGCUCGUGUUGUGAAAUGUUGGGUUAAGUCCCGUAACGAGCGCAACCCUUGUCCUUAUUUGCCAGCGCGUAAUGGCGGGAACUCUAAGGAGACUGCCGGUGACAAACCGGAGGAAGGUGGGGACGACGUCAAGUCAUCAUGGCCCUUACGAGUAGGGCUACACACGUGCUACAAUGGUCGGUACAAAGGGUUGCCAACUCGCGAGAGUGAGCCAAUCCCGAAAAGCCGAUCUCAGUCCGGAUCGGAGUCUGCAACUCGACUCCGUGAAGUCGGAAUCGCUAGUAAUCGUGGAUCAGAAUGCCACGGUGAAUACGUUCCCGGGCCUUGUACACACCGCCCGUCACACCAU
Molecule: ribosomal RNA, 1262 nt
Filed under: uncultured Halomonas sp.
Lineage: Bacteria; Pseudomonadati; Pseudomonadota; Gammaproteobacteria; Oceanospirillales; Halomonadaceae
Description: bacterial SSU rRNA
Rfam family: Bacterial small subunit ribosomal RNA
Source: RNAcentral